RNAcentral lists this long non-coding RNA (1784 nucleotides) under Phoenix dactylifera (date palm). Its description in RNAcentral is "long non-coding RNA (PDAC_LNC007174)". The record is from RNAcentral. Lineage: Eukaryota; Viridiplantae; Streptophyta; Magnoliopsida; Arecales; Arecaceae.
CGUGAGCAAGGAAGGGCAAACGGAGCUCUUGGGAGGAAGGUGAUCCUCGUCGGGGUGCUUGGGAGGGGUCGGCCCGAGGCCCGGCCUCCCUUCUUCUUCUUGUCUUCUUCUUCUUCUCCUCUUUCUCUUCUUCUUCCUCUUCUUCUUCCUCUUCUUUCUUCUUCUUUCUUCCUCUUCUUUCCUCUUCUUCCUCUUCUUCUUCCUCUUCUUUCUUCUUCUUUCAGUCUGGGUCGCAUCGGUACGCUACAUGGACCAAUCUAAUACAUGCUGAGCCGGGCCGGUUCAGCAUACCAUGACCAUGAUAGAAUUUCACUUGCUGAGCUUAGUAGCUUACCUUUUCUUUUAUAUAAAUUUUUCAGAGUGACUAGUAAAAGCCUAAGCAAACCUACUUGAGGAGAUAGAUUUGAUAUUUCAAAAUUAAUAUUUGGAUAAUCAAAUCUAGUGAUUAUCGAAGCGACAGCAGAAACAUAGUUUUUCAUCUUGUGUUAAUAUCAUUGAAGGUAUCAUAUUGUGAAUUUUGUUUUAAUAUUUUGUUGGAUGUCAUAGUUGAGUGGAUUUUGUUUUAAUAUUUUGAGUUAUAUUUUAGUUAUACAUUGUUGGAUGUCAUAGUUUCUUUUGAGGAUUUAAAUUUUAAUGAAGUUUUAAUUGAUUAUAAUGGUCACAACUUGGCAUUCGUCAAGAUCAAAUUUCGGGUCAUGACAUGCAAUGACUUGGCGAUUGACUUGCGAAGAGGAUGGGGGCAUCUACUAAGAGACACAACUAGGGAGGCAAUUCCCCAAGAACUCAAAGGACUUAGUAGGAAUGGACCUACCAUCAACCUCUAGUACAACUGAAAUGCAACUCUUCUUUAGUUAACAAUGAAAAGAAAAUAGAUAGGAAAAAGGAUUUUGACAAGUUAAAUAUGUAAUUUGGUAGUUAAUACCAAGAGACUAUACUGAUAUACAAUCCAUAAAUUUGUGGCCAUGCAUAGAGUGUCAAAUUACAAAUUGACAUAUAGAAUAUCUUUAGGUUUCUUGGAGGCAAGGAGUUAAGUAUUGUUUACUGGUGACAUGUCAACCUAGAACUGGCAUAGUUUCAUGUCGUGCGAACUAUGCCAAUGCUUGGCAUUCUUCUACUUACUGGCGUGGCAGCAUGACAAGUAUUGGCACGCAGCCAACACCGUGCCAAUUCAGCUGGCACUCAAAACAGUCUUAUUAGUACAAAUGUCAGCCUUACGACAAAAAUCAAUUGCCAUUCCUUGAAGAACUUGAUUCUAAUGGAACAUGAUUCAACCAUAUCAUAGCUCAAUAGAUUUUAUUUGUUGAUGUUCUAGUAAAGUGUAGGUGCAUCGGCCAGAUUUCAUUUUGUUUCAAUACGCACUGAAUCCUUUGGAUUGAAUCCUUAAGUGCGUUGCAAUGAGGCUUACAUGUUUUAGAAUGAUCAAAAAGGACACGUGAUACUAUCAUUCAAAAACCAACUAUAGUACACCAGAUUAGAGUGGAGUAAACAACUUCCAUAUUUCUUUAUUAUGUAUAACACAAACCCCUAAAGAGGUUAGUAUGCCUCAGUACGGGCCGGAUACUGUAUCGAUAUCAUAUCGGUUCGGUACAAUAUGGUACGGUACACCUCUGUUUUGAAACUACUUCUUAGCCAUUUUUCUCAAUUUUUAUUUUGGUACGCCUUGAUAUAGGUCGGUACGCCUCGGGACGGGCCGGUACACACCUCGGUACGCCUCGGUACCGGUCGGUAGACCUCGAUACAGGGCAGUAUAUCUCGGUAUAGGGCGGUACGAGGCUUGUACCAAC